GCUCAGGAUGAACGCUAGCUACAGGCUUAACACAUGCAAGUCGAGGGGCAGCAUGGUCUUAGCUUGCUAAGGCCGAUGGCGACCGGCGCACGGGUGAGUAACACGUAUCCAACCUGCCGUCUACUCUUGGACAGCCUUCUGAAAGGAAGAUUAAUACAAGAUGGCAUCAUGAGUCCGCAUGUUCACAUGAUUAAAGGUAUUCCGGUAGACGAUGGGGAUGCGUUCCAUUAGAUAGUAGGCGGGGUAACGGCCCACCUAGUCUUCGAUGGAUAGGGGUUCUGAGAGGAAGGUCCCCCACAUUGGAACUGAGACACGGUCCAAACUCCUACGGGAGGCAGCAGUGAGGAAUAUUGGUCAAUGGGCGCAGGCCCGAACCAGCCAAGUAGCGUGAAGGAUGACUGCCCUAUGGGUUGUAAACUUCUUUUAUACGGGAAUAAAGUGAGGCACGUGUGCCUUUUUGUAUGUACCGUAUGAAUAAGGAUCGGCUAACUCCGUGCCAGCAGCCGCGGUAAUACGGAGGAUCCGAGCGUUAUCCGGAUUUAUUGGGUUUAAAGGGAGCGUAGGCGGACGCUUAAGUCAGUUGUGAAAGUUUGCGGCUCAACCGUAAAAUUGCAGUUGAUACUGGGUGUCUUGAGUACAGUAGAGGCAGGCGGAAUUCGUGGUGUAGCGGUGAAAUGCUUAGAUAUCACGAAGAACUCCGAUUGCGAAGGCAGCUUGCUGGACUGUAACUGACGCUGAUGCUCGAAAGUGUGGGUAUCAAACAGGAUUAGAUACCCUGGUAGUCCACACAGUAAACGAUGAAUACUCGCUGUUUGCGAUAUACAGUAAGCGGCCAAGCGAAAGCGUUAAGUAUUCCACCUGGGGAGUACGCCGGCAACGGUGAAACUCAAAGGAAUUGACGGGGGCCCGCACAAGCGGAGGAACAUGCGGUUUAAUUCGAUGAUACGCGAGGAACCUUACCCGGGCUUGAAUUGCAACUGAAUGAUGUGGAGACAUGUCAGCCGCAAGGCAGUUGUGAAGGUGCUGCAUGGUUGUCGUCAGCUCGUGCCGUGAGGUGUCGGCUUAAGUGCCAUAACGAGCGCAACCCUUAUCGAUAGUUACCAUCAGGUUAUGCUGGGGACUCUGUCGAGACUGCCGUCGUAAGAUGUGAGGAAGGUGGGGAUGACGUCAAAUCAGCACGGCCCUUACGUCCGGGGCUACACACGUGUUACAAUGGGGGGUACAGAAGGCGGCUACACGGUGACGUGAUGCUAAUCCCGAAAGCCUCUCUCAGUUCGGAUUGGAGUCUGCAACCCGACUCCAUGAAGCUGGAUUCGCUAGUAAUCGCGCAUCAGCCACGGCGCGGUGAAUACGUUCCCGGGCCUUGUACACACCGCCCGUCAAGCCAUGAAAGCCGGGGGUACCUGAAGUGCGUAACCGCAAGGAGCGCCCUAGGGUAAAACUGGUG
This 1447-nucleotide ribosomal RNA is filed under the name uncultured organism. Its description in RNAcentral is "SSU rRNA". It matches the Rfam family "Bacterial small subunit ribosomal RNA". The record is from RNAcentral.